GAUGAACGCUGGCGGCGUGCCUAAUACAUGCAAGUCGAGCGAACGGACGAGAAGCUUGCUUCUCUGACGUUAGCGGCGGACGGGUGAGUAACACGUGGAUAACCUACCUAUAAGACUGGGAUAACUUCGGGAAACCGUAGCUAAUACCGGAUAAUAUAUUGAACCGCAUGGUUCAAUAGUGAAAGACGGUCUUGCUGUCACUUAUAGAUGGAUCCGCGCUGCAUUAGCUAGUUGGUAAGGUAACGGCUUACCAAGGCAACGAUGCAUAGCCGACCUGAGAGGGUGAUCGGCCACACUGGAACUGAGACACGGUCCAGACUCCUACGGGAGGCAGCAGUAGGGAAUCUUCCGCAAUGGGCGAAAGCCUGGCGGAGCAACGCCGCGUGAGUGAUGAAGGUCUUCGGAUCGUAAAACUCUGUUAUUAGGGAAGAACAUAUGUGUAAGUAACUGUACACAUCUUGACGGUACCUAAUCAGAAAGCCACGGCUAACUACGUG
Molecule: ribosomal RNA, 497 nt
Filed under: uncultured bacterium
Lineage: Bacteria
Description: partial 16S ribosomal RNA
Rfam family: Bacterial small subunit ribosomal RNA
Source: RNAcentral